UGACUGGCUCAGAUUGAACGCUGGCGGAUGCUUUUUCAUACUACGCAAGUCGAACGGCAGCACGACUUCGGUCUGGUGGCGAGUGGCGAACGGUGAGUAAUGUAUCGAACGUGCCUAGUAGCGGGAUAAUUUACGCGAAAGCGUAGCUUUCAAUACUGCGCGGCAUUGCCCUUCGCAAAAGUGGGGACCUCGGGCCCUUUCGCACUAGAGCGGGCCGAUAUCGAUUAGCAUUUUUCGCCAAGACGGCGACGAUCCGAAGGUAGCUAAGUUCUUUUUGGAGAGGACCAGUAGACUCAGCCACACUCGGACGGUUGAGGAUUACGCGGCCGACUCUACUGGAGGCAGCAGUAGAAUUUCUUCUGGGACGAAUGGGGAAAUCCGAUCCGUUUCAUCCGGCAAAAGGCGAUGGAAAAGGCCUCUUCAGGGCUAAGAAAAAGGAAUUUCUCGGGCGGCGGAAAGAAACUACAUUUGGAUACCCUCGUGCAAAUCGACGGUACCUGGCAGAAUAUGCACCGGCUAACUACGUGCUGCGGCAGCCGCGGUAAUACGUAGGGUGCAAGCGUUAAUCGGAAUAUUGGCAGCGCAGGCGGUUCGGAAAGAAAGAUGAACCCAGAGCUAACUUUGGGAACUACGAACACCGAGCGAGUGCACAGAGGAGGGAAUCGCGUGCGUGCAGCAAAUGCGUAGAUAUGGAGGAACACCGAUGGCGAAGGCAGCUCUCCUGGGAUAACACUGGAUGUUCAUAACGAAAAGCGUGGUAUACAAACAGGAUUAGAUACCCUGCAGUCCACGCCCUAAACGAUGUCAACUGGCUGUUGGGCCUCGGGCCUGGUAGCGGCAGCAGAAAGCUAAUGUAGCAGUGAAGUUGACCGCCUGGGGAGUACGGUCGCAAGGACAAACUCAAAGGAAUUGACGGGGACCCGCACAAGCGGUGUAGAUGAUGGUGGACGACCGACGUAACGCGAAAAACUCCAUCACCCCUGACAUGUCUGGAAUCCCGAAGAGAUUUGGGAGUGCUCGCAAGAGAACCCAGAACAGGUGCUGCAUGGCUGUCAGCUUCGCCCGUGUCGUGAGAGCUGGGUUAAGUCCCGCAACGAGCGCAACCCUUGUCAUUAGUUGCCACAGGCAGGCACUCUGACGAGACUGCCGGUGACAACCGAGGAAGGUGGGGAUGACGUCAAGUCCUCAUGGCCCUUAUGGUAGGGAUUCACACGCCAUACAAUGGUCGGGACAGAGGGUCGCCAACCCGCGAGGGGGAGCCAAUCCCAGAAACCCGAUCGUAGUCCGCAGUCUGCAACUUCGACUGCGUGAAGUCGGAAUCGCUAGUAAUCGCGGAUCAGCAUGUCGCGGUGAAUACGUUCCCGGGUCUUGUACACACCGCCCGUCACACCAUGGGAGUGGCUUCACCAGAAGUAGUUAGCCUAACCGUAAGGAGGGCGAUUACCACGGUAGGAUUCAUGACUGGGUGAAGUCGUAACAAGGUGG
This 1485-nucleotide ribosomal RNA is filed under the name uncultured Bordetella sp. RNAcentral's name for it is "partial 16S-23S ribosomal RNA intergenic spacer". It matches the Rfam family "Bacterial small subunit ribosomal RNA". Lineage: Bacteria; Pseudomonadati; Pseudomonadota; Betaproteobacteria; Burkholderiales; Alcaligenaceae. The record is from RNAcentral.